Molecule: transfer RNA, 73 nt
Filed under: Vicugna pacos (alpaca)
Lineage: Eukaryota; Metazoa; Chordata; Mammalia; Artiodactyla; Camelidae
Description: tRNA-Ala (AGC) (tRNA-Ala-AGC-347-1)
Rfam family: tRNA
About the family: Transfer RNA (tRNA) molecules are approximately 80 nucleotides in length.
Source: RNAcentral
GGAGGAUAUAGCUCAAUGGUAGAGUGCAUGCUUAGCAUGCAUGAGGUCCUGGGUUCAAUCCCCAGUACCUCCA